Molecule: RNA transcript, 2243 nt
Organism: Triticum aestivum (bread wheat)
Lineage: Eukaryota; Viridiplantae; Streptophyta; Magnoliopsida; Poales; Poaceae
Gene name: rRNA (cytosine-C(5))-methyltransferase NOP2C
Exons: 11
Source: RefSeq, a predicted model, not a curated record
CUAAACCCAAAAACUCGCCUGAGAAACAGAAAAACCCCAAAACCGCCCAAGUGCCGAAUCCCGACCGCCCUCGCAGUUAUGGAUUCCUCCCCCUCUGCCUCCCCCGCGGCGGCGGCGGCGGCGGCGGCGGCUGCGCCUGCUGCUGGUGCUGCGGCCGCCACGGACCGGUACACGUUCAGGCCGGGGCUGCGGUGGCAGCCCGAAGUCGAGGAGUACUUCGCCUCGGCGUACGGCCGCGACCACUUCGCCCGCAUCUCCGAAGCCCUCGCGCAUCCUUCUUGCUACUCUUGCAUCCGUGUGAAUACUCUAAAGUCUACCACUGAUACUGUCAUGCAAAAGCUGCUGAAAUUGGUAAAUCAGAAUGAACUUUCUUGUGGAUUUAAUGGUUUGAAGAUCGGUGAGCAGAAUGGUGGAGAGCAAGCACAUGAAGGGAGUUACCUGGUGCACAAGUGCCCGUAUUCAGGCCUUGAAAAUGUUUUAUUUGUUCGAGGUUCAGGACCACAUGCUCUGCAUUACGAUGGCCAACCUGGUCACUCUAUGAAGGAGAUAAUUAUAAGUCGAAAAUGUGCAGAGUCGGUUCUUCGAGGAGCCCAGGUGUAUGUCCCUGGUGUUUUAGCUUGCAGUGCACAUGUUGAAAAGGGUGAUAUGGUUGCAGUGUCAGUUGCUAUUGAACAACCGGUCAAGGAUAGUGGUUGGGCUGUUGGUAUAACACGCGGAAUCGUUCUACAGGGGUUGCAGUCAGAUGCACAUUAUGAAGAGAGAAAGGGUUUGUACAUUGGUCAAGGGAUUGCUGCAAUGUCAAGGGCAGGAAUAUUUCGUGUUCUUCAUGGAGUUGCAGUAGAGAUGACUGAGAGGGUAUACAAACUACCAUCUUUUAAUGACGUGCUUGAAGGGGAGAUAUUUCUUCAAAAUUUGCCAAGUAUUGUGGCUGCUCGUGUCCUUGAUCCCCAGCCAGGAGAGCAAAUAUUGGACAUGUGUGCUGCUCCAGGAGGGAAAACAACAGCAAUUGCUAUCCUUAUGAGGGACAAAGGGGAGAUUGUUGCCCUCGAUAGAUCUCACAAUAAGGUGAUGGGUAUUUUGAAGUUGGCUGAUGAGAUGGGCCUAAGUUGUAUAAGAGCUUAUAAACUUGAUGCUCUCAAAUCUGUACGGAAGGCUUAUGAGGAAAGAAAUCUUGGCGUGGCUGAUAAUUGCUCUGAAGCAAUUGUGACGUUAGCGGAGAACUCUGGCCCUAUUCGUAGUAUAAUCGCUGCCAGGGUUACGAAUGCAGCUGAAGACAGCUCAACUGCAAUAGUUGAGCAGACUGAUGCCAAAAGGUAUGUUAGCAAGGCAGACCUCAGGAAGAAUUUAAGGCGAAUGAGGAACGGGACAGGAAGAAGUAACUGCUCUGGAGGUAGAGUUGAAGACUCAAAAGGAUUCUUUCCAAGCAGCUUUGAUCGUGUCCUCCUUGAUGCUCCAUGUUCUGCACUUGGCUUGAGACCUCGUCUCUUUGCUGCUGAGGAGGACUGCAUUUACCUCGGGCCAGCGCACUAGGAGGCCGGGUCUGGCAUGGCGGUGUUCCUUGGGACAAAGUGACAGAGAUGGAGGGAGGGUGGAGAAUGCCAGGUCCGCGUGGCAGUUUUUGUGGACGCCAGAGCUCUGGCCCAAUAGCAUGCGCUGCGUGGAGGGGCAGAGCCCAGUAAGAGGAGGAGCUGCACGGCGAGGGGGGAGGCUGGGGAGGUUGGAGGCGAGUGUUGCGCAGCGGAGGCCCGCUGGUGAGCUCCCGACGCAGGAGGGAGAGCCAUGUGCAAGGGAAGUUUCCUCCCACUCUCCGUCGUUAGGUUUUGGGGCCUGAGGGUAUGCCUGUGGGAGUUGGGGCUGGGUGGGAGGGGUGUUAUGGGGGCCCCGCAUUUUCCUGGCUCUAAUAGGGGGCCUGCUGGAGAUUCUCUAAUAUCUAGAUGGCUAAUUCUAGUACAACUUGCUAACUUAUUUGCUGUUUCAUAAAUUGCAUUAUUACAGGAAACUCUGGAAUCACUGAGAAAGAAUGCGACGUAUCAAAGAAGAUUGUUUGAUCAAGCUGUUAAGCUAGUUCGCCCUGGUGGGUUAAUUGUUUAUUCCACGUGUACCAUAAAUCCAGGAGAAAAUGAGUCUUUGGUCAGAUAUGCCUUGGAUACAUACAAAUUCCUGUCACUAGGAUCACAGCACCCAAAAGUUGGAGGACCUGGUAUUAUUGGCUCAUGUAAGCUGCCCAACAAGGCAUAUACUGA